Molecule: ribosomal RNA, 1372 nt
Filed under: uncultured bacterium
Lineage: Bacteria
Description: bacterial SSU rRNA
Rfam family: Bacterial small subunit ribosomal RNA
Source: RNAcentral
GAUGAACGCUGGCGGCGUGCCUAAUACAUGCAAGUCGAGCGAACGGACGAGAAGCUUGCUUUUCUGAUGUUAGCGGCGGACGGGUGAGUAACACGUGGAUAACCUACCUAUAAGACUGGGAUAACUUCGGGAAACCGGAGCUAAUACCGGAUAAUAUUUUGAACCGCAUGGUUCAAAAGUGAAAGACGGUCUUGCUGUCACUUAUAGAUGGAUCCGCGCUGCAUUAGCUAGUUGGUAAGGUAACGGCUUACCAAGGCAACGAUGCAUAGCCGACCUGAGAGGGUGAUCGGCCACACUGGAACUGAGACACGGUCCAGACUCCUACGGGAGGCAGCAGUAGGGAAUCUUCCGCAAUGGGCGAAAGCCUGACGGAGCAACGCCGCGUGAGUGAUGAAGGUCUUCGGAUCGUAAAACUCUGUUAUUAGGGAAGAACAUAUGUGUAAGUAACUGUGCACAUCUUGACGGUACCUAAUCAGAAAGCCACGGCUAACUACGUGCCAGCAGCCGCGGUAAUACGUAGGUGGCAAGCGUUAUCCGGAAUUAUUGGGCGUAAAGCGCGCGUAGGCGGUUUUUUAAGUCUGAUGUGAAAGCCCACGGCUCAACCGUGGAGGGUCAUUGGAAACUGGAAAACUUGAGUGCAGAAGAGGAAAGUGGAAUUCCAUGUGUAGCGGUGAAAUGCGCAGAGAUGUGGAGGAACACCAGUGGCGAAGGCGACUUUCUGGUCUGUAACUGACGCUGAUGUGCGAAAGCGUGGGGAUCAAACAGGAUUAGAUACCCUGGUAGUCCACGCCGUAAACGAUGAGUGCUAAGUGUUAGGGGGUUUCCGCCCCUUAGUGCUGCAGCUAACGCAUUAAGCACUCCGCCUGGGGAGUACGACCGCAAGGUUGAAACUCAAAGGAAUUGACGGGGGCCCGCACAAGCGGUGGAGCAUGUGGUUUAAUUCGAAGCAACGCGAAGAACCUUACCAAAUCUUGACAUCCUUUGACAACUCUAGAGAUAGAGCCUUCCCCUUCGGGGGACAAAGUGACAGGUGGUGCAUGGUUGUCGUCAGCUCGUGUCGUGAGAUGUUGGGUUAAGUCCCGCAACGAGCGCAACCCUUAAGCUUAGUUGCCAUCAUUAAGUUGGGCACUCUAAGUUGACUGCCGGUGACAAACCGGAGGAAGGUAGGGAUGACGUCAAAUCAUCAUGCCCCUUAUGAUUUGGGCUACACACGUGCUACAAUGGACAAUACAAAGGGCAGCGAGACCGCGAGGUCAAGCAAAUCCCAUAAAGUUGUUCUCAGUUCGGAUUGUAGUCUGCAACUCGACUACAUGAAGCUGGAAUCGCUAGUAAUCGUAGAUCAGCAUGCUACGGUGAAUACGUUCCCGGGUCU